UGGGGAAUUUUGGACAAUGGGCGAAAGCCUGAUCCAGCAAUGCCGCGUGUGUGAAGAAGGCCUUCGGGUUGUAAAGCACUUUUGUCCGGAAAGAAAUCCUUGGCUCUAAUACAGUCGGGGGAUGACGGUACCGGAAGAAUAAGCACCGGCUAACUACGUGCCAGCAGCCGCGGUAAUACGUAGGGUGCAAGCGUUAAUCGGAAUUACUGGGCGUAAAGCGUGCGCAGGCGGUUUGCUAAGACCGAUGUGAAAUCCCCGGGCUCAACCUGGGAACUGCAUUGGUGACUGGCAGGCUAGAGUAUGGCAGAGGGGGGUAGAAUUCCACGUGUAGCAGUGAAAUGCGUAGAGAUGUGGAGGAAUACCGAUGGCGAAGGCAGCCCCCUGGGCCAAUACUGACGCUCAUGCACGAAAGCGUGGGGAGCAAAACAGGAUUAGAUACCCUGGUAGUCCACGCCCUAAAACGAUGUCAACUAGUUGUUGGGGAUUCAUUUCCUUAGUAACGUAGCUAACGCGUGAAGUUGACCGCCUGGGGAGUACGGUCGCAAGAUUAAAACUCAAAUGAAUUGAC
RNAcentral lists this ribosomal RNA (568 nucleotides) under uncultured bacterium. RNAcentral describes it as "partial 16S ribosomal RNA". It matches the Rfam family "Bacterial small subunit ribosomal RNA", at positions 355 to 914 of the family's 1533-position model. The record is from RNAcentral.